GACGAACGCCGGCGGCGUGCUUAACACAUGCCAGUCGAACGGAAAGGCCCUGCUUUUGUGGGGUGCUCGAGUGGCGAACGGGUGAGUAACACGUGAGUAACCUGCCCUUGACUUUGGGAUAACUUCAGGAAACUGGGGCUAAUACCGGAUAGGAGCUCCUGCUGCAUGGUGGGGGUUGGAAAGUUUCGGCGGUUGGGGAUGGACUCGCGGCUUAUCAGCUUGUUGGUGGGGUAGUGGCUUACCAAGGCUUUGACGGGUAGCCGGCCUGAGAGGGUGACCGGCCACAUUGGGACUGAGAUACGGACCAGACUGCAACGGGAGGCAGCAGUGGGGAAUAUUGCACAAUGGGCGGAAGCCUGAUGCAGCAACGCCGCGUGCGGGAUGACGGCCUUCGGGUUGUAAACCGCUUUCGCCUGUGACGAAGCGUGAGUGACGGUAAUGGGUAAAGAAGCACCGGCUAACUACGUG
RNAcentral lists this ribosomal RNA (468 nucleotides) under uncultured bacterium. RNAcentral's name for it is "partial 16S ribosomal RNA". It matches the Rfam family "Bacterial small subunit ribosomal RNA", at positions 28 to 507 of the family's 1533-position model. The record is from RNAcentral.